Molecule: microRNA precursor, 59 nt
Organism: Haplochromis burtoni (Burton's mouthbrooder)
Lineage: Eukaryota; Metazoa; Chordata; Actinopteri; Cichliformes; Cichlidae
Source: Ensembl
UUGUGCAAACAGCUUUGAUCAGAGUCUGAUGAAACCUAAUGAAAGCUGUUUGCUGUAAU